This 496-nucleotide ribosomal RNA is filed under the name uncultured bacterium. RNAcentral describes it as "partial 16S ribosomal RNA". It matches the Rfam family "Bacterial small subunit ribosomal RNA", at positions 28 to 506 of the family's 1533-position model. The record is from RNAcentral.
GAUGAACGCUGGCGGCGUGCCUAAUACAUGCAAGUCGAGCGAACAGACGAGGAGCUUGCUCCUUUGACGUUAGCGGCGGACGGGUGAGUAACACGUAGGUAACCUACCUAUAAGACUGGGAUAACUUCGGGAAACCGGAGCUAAUACCGGAUAAUAUUUCGAACCGCAUGGUUCGAUAGUGAAAGAUGGCUUUGCUAUCACUUAUAGAUGGACCUGCGCCGUAUUAGCUAGUUGGUAAGGUAACGGCUUACCAAGGCAACGAUACGUAGCCGACCUGAGAGGGUGAUCGGCCACACUGGAACUGAGACACGGUCCAGACUCCUACGGGAGGCAGCAGUAGGGAAUCUUCCGCAAUGGGCGAAAGCCUGACGGAGCAACGCCGCGUGAGUGAUGAAGGUCUUCGGAUCGUAAAACUCUGUUAUUAGGGAAGAACAAACGUGUAAGUAACUGUGCACGUCUGGACGGUACCUAAUCAGAAAGCCACGGCAAACUACGU